CAGUAUCCUCACUUCUUGAAGAGGGAAGGCAACAAGCUUCAGAUCAUGCUGCAGCGCAGAAAGCGCUACAAGAACAGAACCAUCCUGGGCUACAAGACGCUGGCCGCGGGCUCCAUCAGCAUGGCUGAGGUGAUGCAGCACCCGUCUGAAGGUGGCCAGGUCCUGAGCCUCUGCAGCAGCAUCAAGGAGGCCCCCGUCAAGGCGGCCGAGAUCUGGAUCGCCUCCCUGUCCAGCCAGCCCAUUGACCACGAAGACAGUGCCAUGCAGGCCGGCCCCAAGGCCAAGUCCACAGAUAACUACUCCGAGGAGGAGUAUGAGAGCUUCUCCUCCGAGCAGGAGGCCAGUGACGACGCCGUGCAGGGGCAGGACUUAGACGAGGACGACUUCGACGUGGGGAAGCCGAAGAAGCAGCGGAGAUCGAUUGUAAGAACGACGUCCAUGACCAGGCAACAGAACUUCAAGCAGAAAGUGGUGGCGCUGCUGCGGAGGUUCAAAGUGUCCGAUGAGGUGAGUGCGCCGCGCCUUCUGCUCGCAGCCCCCAUGCCUGCAGCAGCGCCUGGUUGGGAGGAGGCCUCUGGGGUCUGUCUCUGGGCCACAUCUGGUUCUGCUGCUCACCGUCUGCACGGCCCUGCCAGCAUCGCACUGUCUGCGAGGCGCAGUAACAGUGGCACUGCCUCGCAGGCUCCAGGUCACCCGCUGGGUCUCUGCUGAAGUGCAAGCUGUGAAUACACUGGAAGUUGGAAAGUCAUUUUCAGGGGGACGUAA
Molecule: small RNA, 765 nt
Filed under: Pongo abelii (Sumatran orangutan)
Lineage: Eukaryota; Metazoa; Chordata; Mammalia; Primates; Hominidae
Description: retained intron
Source: RNAcentral